CGCAGAGGUUGGCCACAGCUUGGCUAAACAGAUGUGCUGUUUGUGUGGUGUCGGACCUCAGCUGCAGCCAUAUAUUUGUAGACAGCCAAGGAGGUUUGGUUGUUACUGGAGCCAUCCGAACCUGUAUCUGAUCCUUCAUUGAUAUUUGGUUUGCAUUAUAUAAGAAUGUCAUCCAUCAUCACCAUGUUU
Molecule: long non-coding RNA, 189 nt
Organism: Zea mays
Lineage: Eukaryota; Viridiplantae; Streptophyta; Magnoliopsida; Poales; Poaceae
Exons: 2
Source: RefSeq, a predicted model, not a curated record